Molecule: ribosomal RNA, 483 nt
Filed under: uncultured bacterium
Lineage: Bacteria
Description: partial 16S ribosomal RNA
Rfam family: Bacterial small subunit ribosomal RNA
Source: RNAcentral
AUUGAACGCUGGCGGCAGGCCUAACACAUGCAAGUCGAGCGGAUGAAGGGAGCUUGCUCCUGGAUUCAGCGGCGGACGGGUGAGUAAUGCCUAGGAAUCUGCCUGGUAGUGGGGGAUAACGUCCGGAAACGGGCGCUAAUACCGCAUACGUCCUGAGGGAGAAAGUGGGGGAUCUUCGGACCUCACGCUAUCAGAUGAGCCUAGGUCGGAUUAGCUAGUUGGUGGGGUAAGGCCUACCAAGGCGACGAUCCGUAACUGGUCUGAGAGGAGGAUCAGUCACACUGGAACUGAGACACGGUCCAGACUCCUACGGGAGGCAGCAGUGGGGAAUAUUGGACAAUGGGCGAAAGCCUGAUCCAGCCAUGCCGCGUGUGUGAAGAAGGUCUUCGGAUUGUAAAGCACUUUAAGUUGGGAGGAAGGGCAGUAAGUUAAUACCUUGCUGUUUUGACGUUACCAACAGAAUAAGCACCGGCUAACUUCGUG